UACGAAAGGUGCAAGCGUUACUCGGAAUUACUGGGCGUAAAGCGCGCGUAGGCGGCUUUGUAGGUCGAUUGUGAAAGCCCAGGGCUCAACCUUGGAAUCGCAGUUGAAACCGCAUAGCUUGAAUGUUGGAGAGGGUGGGGGAAUACCUAGUGGAGAAGUGAAAUUCGUAGAGAUUAGGUGGAACACCAGAGGCGAAGGCGCCUGCCUGGCCAAACAUUGACGCUAAGGCGCGAAAGCGCGGGGAGCAAACAGG
This 253-nucleotide ribosomal RNA is filed under the name uncultured bacterium. Its description in RNAcentral is "partial 16S ribosomal RNA". It matches the Rfam family "Bacterial small subunit ribosomal RNA", at positions 524 to 776 of the family's 1533-position model. The record is from RNAcentral.